AAGAAAGUAUUAGGUUGUUGCAAAAGUAACUGUGGUUUUUGCCAUUAAAAGUAAUUAAUGGCGAAAACCGCAAUUACUUCUGCAACGACCUACUACUGCAA
This 101-nucleotide microRNA precursor is filed under the name Chlorocebus sabaeus (green monkey). Its description in RNAcentral is "miRNA (ENSCSAG00000027769.1)". Lineage: Eukaryota; Metazoa; Chordata; Mammalia; Primates; Cercopithecidae. The record is from RNAcentral.